UGCCAGCAGCCGCGGUAAUACGUAGGUGGCAAGCGUUGUCCGGAUUUACUGGGCGUAAAGAGCGCGCAGGCGGCCAAGUAAGUCGAAUGUGAAAGCCCCCGGCUCAACUGGGGAAGGUCAUUCGAUACUGCCUGGCUUGAAGAUAGGAGAGGGAAGCGGAAUUUCCGGUGUAGUGGUGAAAUGCGUAGAUAUCGGAAGGAACACCAGUGGCGAAGGCGGCUUUCUGGCCUAUUCUUGACGCUGAGGCGCGAAAGCUAGGGGAGCGAACGGGAUUAGAUA
Molecule: ribosomal RNA, 279 nt
Filed under: uncultured bacterium
Lineage: Bacteria
Description: partial 16S ribosomal RNA
Rfam family: Bacterial small subunit ribosomal RNA
Source: RNAcentral